Molecule: ribosomal RNA, 419 nt
Filed under: uncultured bacterium
Lineage: Bacteria
Description: bacterial SSU rRNA
Rfam family: Bacterial small subunit ribosomal RNA
Source: RNAcentral
UGAGGAAUAUUGCACAAUGGGCGCAAGCCUGAUGCAGCGACGCCGCGUGUGGGAUGAAGGGGCUACGCCUCGUAAACCACUGUAGCCCGGGACGAAAAACGCCUUAGAGGCGUUAGACGGUACCGGGAAAGUAAGGGUCGGCUAACUACGUGCCAGCAGCCGCGGUAAUACGUAGGACCCAAGCGUUGUCCGGAUUUACUGGGUGUAAAGGGUGCGCAGGCGGAUUUGUAAGUCAGAGAUGAAAUCUUACAGCUUAACUGUGAAACUGCCUUUGAUACUGCAAGCCUAGAGUAUGGAAGAGAGUGAUGGAAUAUCUGGUGUAGCAGUGAAAUGCGUAGAUAUCAGAUAGAACACCAAUGGCGAAGGCAGUCACUUGGUCCAUUACUGACGCUAAAGCACGAAAGCGUGGGUAGCAAACA